Mytilus californianus (California mussel) is the source of this 865-nucleotide long non-coding RNA. RefSeq lists it as uncharacterized. The transcript has 2 exons. The record is from RefSeq and is a predicted model, not a curated record. Lineage: Eukaryota; Metazoa; Mollusca; Bivalvia; Mytilida; Mytilidae.
AUGAAUAUUAUUUUUUUUUUAUAGGUGAUUGGAAAUUUAAAAUGCCAAAGCUUCUUUUAGACAUUUAGGUAGAUUGAACUGUUGUGUUAUUCAACAUAUAUGUGUGUAUUUUUAGGGUAUAUUGGAAUAUUUGUCAGUCUGAUUGAGAUACAGAUAAUAUGUCCAUGCUUUGCUAACAAGGAUUUGCCUGCAAUGUGUUCUAACUUCUAUUUUUAAGAACUUUCAUGAUCAGGAUUCGCAGGUUUUGUUACAUUGAUAACACCUUCAAAAAUCUGAAGUCUGGAAUUUCAUUGACUGAUGUUAUAAUUACCAGAACAGAAAUUAGAAUGGAACGUUGCCAGAUCCUUGAAAACAGAGCAUGGACACAUGAUUUUGAUGAGAUCAGUAUUUUAAUCUGAUGGAAUAUUUGUAUGAUCAUACACUAAACAUAUCUGAAAUUUUUUUAGUAAAACUUGCAUUUUGCAGUACCAAAAUUAAAAAAAUUGAAAAAAUUACAUUGAAAGCAAGAAAUGGUAUUUCACCCAUUUAAUCACAUUGAAAUGUAUCCACUAUUAUAUAGUUUUAUUAUAUCUUUUCUUUAAUAUGUUAAAAAUAUUUUUUAUAGUUAUUUUUUUGUCAAACAUGACAUAGUAAACAGAGUUUUUUUUAAAGUGCCUGUUGUUGCAAUUUUUGUUGUUUAAGGUCAUAGAAUAAAUGUUCUAUCUUUGAAAUCAAAGUUUAAUUUUUUGUAAAUAUAUGUAUCUGCUAUUUAAGAUACUUUUGAUGUCUUUAUUGUAUAUAUUAAUUAUUGUUGAUUUAUUGUAUAUUUUAAUUGUUACUGUUUUCUGUGAUAUAAAUAAUUUUUCAAUAAAGUUGCAGAAAAUUC